This 433-nucleotide ribosomal RNA is filed under the name uncultured bacterium. RNAcentral describes it as "partial 16S ribosomal RNA". It matches the Rfam family "Bacterial small subunit ribosomal RNA", at positions 29 to 507 of the family's 1533-position model. The record is from RNAcentral.
AACGAACGCUGGCGGCAGGCCUAACACAUGCAAGUCGAGCGCGCCCUUCGGGGUGAGCGGCGGACGGUGGUGUCACGCGUGGGGACGUUCCCUUUUCUACGGAAUAGCCUCGGGACAGUGAUAGUAAUACCGUAUCCGCCCUAUUAGGGGAGGAUUUAUCGGACAAGGUUCGUCCCGAGUGGGAUUCGGUCGUUAGUUGGGUAAUGGCCUCUCAAGCCGACGAUCAAUAGCUGGGUUGUGAGGAAGAUCAGCAACUCUGGGACUGAGACACGGCCCAGACUCCUACGGGAGGCAGGAAUGGGGAAUCGUGGACAAUGGGGGCAACCCUGAUGUAGCCAUGCCGGGUGAGUGAUGAAGGCCUUAGGGUUGUAAAGCGCUAUCAGCUGGGAAGAUAAUGACGGUACCAGCAGAAGAAGCCCCGGCUAACUACGUG